RNAcentral lists this ribosomal RNA (253 nucleotides) under uncultured bacterium. RNAcentral's name for it is "partial 16S ribosomal RNA". It matches the Rfam family "Bacterial small subunit ribosomal RNA", at positions 524 to 776 of the family's 1533-position model. The record is from RNAcentral.
UACGUAGGGUCCGAGCGUUGUCCGGAAUUACUGGGCGUAAAGAGCUCGUAGGUGGUUUGUCGCGUUGUUCGUGAAAACUCACAGCUUAACUGUGGGCGUGCGGGCGAUACGGGCAGACUGGAGUACUGCAGGGGAGACUGGAAUUCCUGGUGUAGCGGUGGAAUGCGCAGAUAUCAGGAGGAACACCGGUGGCGAAGGCGGGUCUCUGGGCAGUAACUGACGCUGAGACGCGAAAGCGUGGGUAGCAAACAGG